AGAAUAUUUGAAACUCUAAGUAAAUGAGGUGAUGAACAGGCAGACGAGGCUCAAAAGGCUGCGAGAAACAAGAAGAAGGACUAAACAGCAGCCAGUGAAUGUUAUAAAGAAGAAAGUACGACAGUAGCCAUUGAAUGUUAUAAAGGAGAAAGGACGAGUAAGUAGAAGUGAUAGUCGUUAUAGUUUCGUAUUUCAAUACAAAUAUAAGAAUGUCGAUAGAUGUUGGUCAAAUCGUUCAUUCAGAAGAAAAGUGUAACAACUCAAAAUUUUUUUAAAUGGGUUUUAUUGGUUUAAUAGUCUUGAAAUAAGUUAUUCUUUUCACUGCAAAAACGUCACAACUCAAACUCUGCUUGCUCCCACUAGAGUGCACUAGUGUCACUUUUCUUCUAGAACAUUCUAGGUUAUGUUUUUCUAGCAAAACUGACACAUUUCAGUUGUGACUUGACUGUCUAGGAGUGAAGUGCUAUAAUUUCUCUGCAAAAGUGACACUUUUUGAGUUGUGCCUGUUUGGUUGUAAUAUUUUGUAAGUACAUGUUUAUAUUGUUUACUAGAAUAAUGACAGAUUUUGAGUUGUGUCACUUUUCCUUGAAUAUAGCUUUGACUUUCAAUUUUGUUUGUCAUCCACAAGUCCAAAUUUUGAGAUGUGUCACUUUUCCUUGAAAAUCAUUGUACUUUUUUCAUUUUGUUAUACCUCCACAGUGGCAGACUUUGAGAUGUGUCAUUACAACUCUGAACUUUUGCAAGAAACUAAAUCACAAUGUUAUACCAACAGUGCAAUAUUUUGAGUUGUGACACUUGUAUUGCGAAAAUAGUUCAUAAUUUAUUAUAAAUAUUCCACUGUUAGUACUAUUACGAUUUAUUUUCUUGUUAAACUAUCAGUAAACAAUAUACAUUUUAUUCAUAAAUGAAUGCCACAUACAGACAAAAUGCCUUGCCUGUGUGUGCCAUUCAUUUAUGAACUUUUUUAGGUUACACAUUUUUUCUAGUGAAGGCAUCACAACAGCCAGUUUAAGUCUCAGGAAUGAGCAAUAGAACAUCCCUGAUUUUAAAAUUAGCCAAACAAAAAGGCAAUUCUACAGACUAUAGGCCUACUCCUCAUUCACAUAAUAGUGUUGUAUGUGGUAAUGAGUGGACAGUGAUUAAUGAAGAGGAAAUUCCAAAUACAACCCCAAAUAAUGAGGUUCAAGCCAUAUUUCAAACUACAAAUGAACUUUUAACUGAACACAUUGAAACCCAGCCAAUCUCAACGAUCCUACAAACCCGGGAAGCUGAACCUGAAGACAAAACUCAGGGUUAUGUUGAUGUCAUUCCUAAAGAAUGUACUUCUAAAGAAGUUCACAGUGAAGAAAAUCAUAAACCUUCGACAUCAAAACAGUGUGUUAGUGAAUUUUCACAAAAUACCAACAAAAGCAGGGAAUGUGUGCCUAAAAAACUUAAUUUGCCAACGACAUCAGCUCAGUCUAACCAAGAAAAUGUUCGACCCAAACGAAAGUGUAAAACCGAUAACGAAGCUACUGGAGAUCUUUUUUCAGAUGACCCUAACAGUGAAAAUGAUUAUGACGUGGAUGAUUCUGACGAGGAUCCAAAUUACGAGCCAAAAAAUGACCUUAAUUUCCCUAAAAAACAAACAAUAUCCAACAAAAUAUUUAACAUACCUAGAAGAAACAAAGUUGUUGUAAAUACUAAAGAAAAGGAGCCUGAGAUCUUUGAAGAAAAUGAUAAUGUUUUUGAAUUCUUGGAACAAAAUAACACUGAUCUCCAAAAGAAAAAAGGAAAGAAAAGGUCACUAAACAAAGACAACUGGUUGAAAUGUAAAGCAAAAAAGCUGAGAAAUUCUGGAGAGGAAUAUAAAUCAUCAUCUAAGUCCAGAAAACUAAUUGAGAAAAAGGAAAUAAAACCACCAUGCAAUGAUAGAUGUAGAAUCCAGUGUAAAACCAAAAUAAACCCUGAUGAACGUCAAACAAUUUUCAAAAACUAUUGGGCACUUGGUGACCUUUCCCGCCAAAGAGAUUUCAUAGCAUCACAUAUUCAGAACAUACAACCAACUUACCAGUACAAGAGAGAGGGAAAUAAGAGAAAACCAAACCAAGCCUUUUAUUUUGAUGUUGCUGAUAAGCGAGUUCGUGUAUGCAAAGAUUUUUUCAGAAACACCCUAGGGAUCAAUGACAGACCAAUUAGAACCGUUAUUGAUAAGAAAGACGCCUCAAGUGGCUUUGUUGCUGGUGAUCUGAGGGGUAAACAUGAUAAGCAUCAAACUGAUCAAGACAAGUUAAUAAAUGAAGGCAUCAGGCGUCAUAUAGAAUCUAUUCCUAAAAUUGAGAGCCACUAUCUACGGGCAAACAACCAGAGAAUUCAUAGAAGGUGGUAAAACAAUUAGUGAUUUACAUCGUGAUUAUGUUGAACAUUGUAAAAGCUUGCAAAAACCUCAUGGAAAUUAUAAAAAGUAUUACGAUAUAUUCACCAAAGAGUAUAAUAUUUCUUUUUUUGUUCCAAAAAAAGACCUUUGUGAGCUGUGCCAUGCAUAUGAGACAGCUGAAGGUGAGAGAAAGACCAGUUUGCAAGAGGAAUAUGAAAAGCAUAUUAUGGAAAAAGAUCUAUCUCGAUUGAAAAAAAAUUCUGACAAAGACUCAGUGAGUGUCAACACCAUUGUUGCCUGUUAUGACCUUCAAGCUGUAUUACAGUGUCCAAAGGGGGAAGUGUCCCUAAUGUAUUAUAAAUCUAAAUUAAAUAUGCUAAACCUGACUGUCUGUGAGCUGAAAAAUGAUGCCGUAUUCUGCUAUACUUGGCAUGAAGGCGAAGGAGCCAGAGGCUCGUGCGAAAUUGGAACAUGCAUUUACAAAUACCUCAGUGAAAAAGUUAAAAAUUGCGAAAACGAUAUUGAAAUUAUAUUUUACUCUGAUAAUUGCAGCGGCCAACAGAAAAACAAGUAUUUGUUUUCUAUGUACUUAUAUGCAGUGGACAAACUGCCAAUUAAGUCUAUAACUCACAAUUUCCUAAUAAAAGGGCAUAGUCAAAACGAGGGGGACAAUGUACAUGCAAUGAUUGAGAAGCAGAUUAAGAAAUGUCUGAAGUCUGGACCAAUUUACCACCCGGCUCAAUACAUUUCAUUGAUCAAAACUGCAAAAAAAACUGGGAAUCCGUAUAAAGUCAAUGAACUAAGUCAUGAAGAUUUCUUGGAUUUUAAAGACCUAUGGGCAAACAUUGGAUGUAACUCUACAGUUAAUGUGUCAGGAUGUACUGUUGCAAUGAAUGACAUCAAAAUAAUUAAAGUUGAGAAAGAUUCUCCCUUUAAAAUCAAGUACAAGACAACUUAUGAUGACACAGUUGACUUUCAAGAAAUUUUCAUCCAGCAGAUUGAUAUUGAAGAAAACGAGGAUUUAUUCGGAGACAACAAGAAGAGUCACACUAAGAAGAAAACCAGAAGUUCAAAGAAGAAACAACAGGUUUUUCCUGUGCAUUGUUCAGAUGUUGCUUUAAAAAAAUUAUACGAGCAAAGACUGGGAAUUUCAGUUAACAAGAAAAAAGACUUACAAUACUUACUUGAAAAACAUGUUAUUCCAAGUUGCUAUGCACCAUUUUAUAACUCACUUUAAAUUUUUGCAGUAACGUUUGUGUUUAGCAACAAUGUUAUGUUUGUGUUAAUGAUUUUUAUUUCCAUUAGAAAAUACUUCUUUAAAUAUUAAAAAGUGCUGCAUUAGUUACUUUAUAUAAGACCAAACUAUUGGUAGUAACUAGUGGUAGUAAAUGAAUGUAUUUUGUUAUUAAUAUUUGAAAACACUAUUUUUCUAAACAUCUAAAAUAGGUCCAAUGAUGUUUGGAGGUUUAGUUCUAAGUAACUAACUGAUUUUUUUGUUUCAAUUAAAGUUAACUGUCAUUAAAAACCCGUUGACUUAUUUUUGUGUCAUUACCAUCUUCAAAGUUAACCUUUUAAUGAAAAGCGGUUUUACAGGAAAAUUGACACAACUCAAAUUAAAUUAAUAAAUAAUUAAAAAAAUAAUAAACACAAACUUCAUGGUUUAUAUUAAGCUAAUUUAAAUGCCCUAUAUUUAACUGAUAUAAAUAAUAAAAUGACUUUUGGAUUAAAGGUUGCAGUUCUGUUAAACGAAAAACUAAUUACAAAAAGCACAAUUUUCAAAUCGCUCUCCUGUAAAAUUUACUUUUUUUGAGUUGUGUCACUUUUCUUCUGAAUGAACGA
Molecule: RNA transcript, 4195 nt
Organism: Homalodisca vitripennis (glassy-winged sharpshooter)
Lineage: Eukaryota; Metazoa; Arthropoda; Insecta; Hemiptera; Cicadellidae
Exons: 2
Source: RefSeq, a predicted model, not a curated record